RNAcentral lists this long non-coding RNA (3119 nucleotides) under Coturnix japonica (Japanese quail). RNAcentral's name for it is "lncRNA (ENSCJPG00005004218.1)". The record is from RNAcentral. Lineage: Eukaryota; Metazoa; Chordata; Aves; Galliformes; Phasianidae.
UGGAAAUGUUAAUUUCAGUGUUGUUUAUUACCCAUCUUUUAAAGGAAAGAGGCAGUCUGAGGAAAUAAGUGAUUCUGAGAGCAGAGGAAUGAAGGGAGAAGUUUGCACAGGUUCUGUGAUGUCUAAUACAGACUGGACCUGUUCUCCUGUCUACUCCUUGGGAGAAUUAGGAUUUCACCCUUCUACUCAGCUAUCUAUUUUCAUUAUAUUUGCAGGGCCUUGUCAAUUCACCUACUGCUCCAGUGCCAGUGCCACAGAGGCACAGCAACUCGCCUUGCAGGAGAAACCUCAGUGUCUUGGCUGCCAUAUGGAAGCUGACCUGACACCUCUCAGCCUCAAGACAUUGCUGGGUUAUGACUAUUUUUGCCAGGAGACGCAAGAGGGUCAGACAAAUUUGACCAUACCAAUCCACAUUACAGCUAGCACCCAAGGAAAGGCUGACCUUAGCAGGAGUUAUGCAGUGGGAUUUCCAGGCUGAGAGACAGAGUUGCAACAGAGACAACUGAGAACGGCCACAGCUCACUGGCUGGAGAUAAAGAGCAUAUUUUAAGUGCUAUGGUGAAAUGGUGUGACCUUGCUAUUCUGAGAAAGCAAGGAUCUGACCCCAGGCCCCUCAAAGUCAGCAGAACGAUCUCAGAUGUAAGCACAUCAUCAAACCCAGCACAACUACAAUGUUUAGCUGUAUUCUUCCCAUGCUCUGACACUUGGAAAUGUGCAGAGGCAGUGACAAGACACCCACUCUCAGAAAUUUGUAAUCCUCAUGUUAUACAUGUGAUUAUUUCUAUAUUAUAUAUAUGGUUGUCUAAUCCUUAGGGGACACGCCAAUUCCAUCUAAACCAGGCUGAGCAGGCACACUGUCAUUGCUGUCUUUCACUUUUUUUUUUUCCCCUGUAAAAAGCAACCUAUUGCCUUGGCAAAUCAAAUGCAGAAAGCUGCAUGCCUCUAAUUUUGUUCAAAGAAAUAUUUUCAUAUUUUUUUCUCCUUCUCAAAGAUCAGGCUUGAAGUUCUUUCAGUGCUCACCGAGACAUCUGUCUUGCGUAGGUUCAGCUGCCACCUUUUCAAAUUACUUGUCAUGUGUAUCUGUUCUAUAAGAUACAUCAUUAGAUAUUUUUUGCUUAAUGCUAUAUUUAUCAGCGCAGAAGGGAAUCUCCCAGCUCUGCGAAAACUUCGUCAUAAGGCAAAUUUGAGCAACAGCGCUGAAGAAUAUCUUUCUUUCCUCUAUUGAGGCAAUACUGACAUCCUGAACUUCCCAGCUCUACUACAGGUGCUGGCACAGUAAUUUAGAAUUGUAUGAGACUUUCUGUCCUUCUUGGCACCUUGGAUCAUGCAGUACAAAGCUCAUGAGCUUCUCCUUACCAAAGUUUGCCUAUGACACACUUUGGUCAACAAUUCCAGAUGCUUACUAUAAAAGGAAGUUUUGCUUUGUCAUUUGAAAUAAUUCAGUAGAAACAGCAGUUGUUUCCCAGUAAUACUAGAAAGAUACAUAUAUUGCAUUCCUCAUUAUGAAGUGUGGAACUGCUCAUAUCUCCUCCCUGUUCACAUCGCCUAGCUACUUACCACAUGUACAUUGGAGGAUCUUGCAUUAUCCUUUCACUGUUGUCAAAAUAGCAAGGUUUUUACUUACUGUGUUCUAAUUAGGUACUAAUAGCACUUGAGGGACUGAUGCACUUCGUUCACAUAACUAUAGCUAUUCUUGCUUUCAUCCCAAGGGCACUCCAUAAGACAACCACUGAUAUUGAUGUAAUCUCACAAGACCAUAGCCAGGUGAAAUGAAGGAGUGGAAAGAUCUAUCAAAACAAAUUUGGAAAGUAAAGCUGCUAAUUUCAAAUUUUAUGCUUGGUGACAAAUGAAAGUACUGAUGCUAUGGUUAUGGCUCAGUUUGCCUUGCCAUUUUUAUUAGAGACAUUGAUAAUGAAUAUAAUGUCACUGAAGACAUGGCUUCUUUGGUGCCAUUAAAAGACACAACUAAAUCUCUUGAUUUGUAUGAAGCAGUAAAAAUUACAUUAAAGUGAUUUUCUUUAACCUUUGUCAACAUAUCUGGUAUAGCUACUGAUGGUGCCCUGGUGAUAGCUGGUAAAAAAGAGGGACUUAUAACAUUAAUAGAAGACAAUGCAUGCACUGCCAGCAGCUCAUGUUUGAGGAAAUAGCAUUGCAUUGUACAUCAAGAAAAUUUAUGUGUGAAAACUUUAAAAAUGGAUAAUGUCAGGCAAAUCAUCACCAAAGCUGUGAAUUUCAUAAAGUCCAAGGCCUUAAAUCAUUGCCAGUUCCAGGAGUUCCUUAAAAGUAUGGAUGCUGAUAAUGGGGACAUCUUUUACAUAUCUAAAGGGAAGUGUCUGUGAUAGGGUAAAGUACUAAAAGCUUUUUAUGGUUUGCAAAAUGAAAUCAAGCCAUUUAUGGAAUCAAAAGGAAAAUUUGUGCCAGAACUUGAAGAUGAAAAAUGGCUCACAGAUUUAGCAUUUUUGGUGGAUUUGACCACUCAUUUAAAUGAGUUAAACAUGCACCUUCAAGGUGAAAAUCAACUUAUCUGUGCUGUGUUCCAUACCAUGACAUUCAAAAUGAAACUUACAUUGUGGCGUGCUGAAGUUAUGGCAAAUAACAUUGGCUAAACAUAGUCCUGUGAACAGUGAAAAAUAUGCAGCUGUGCUUUCCAUUUUGAUAAAGGAAUUUGAGAAUAGGUUUCAAGAUUGCUGAAAAAAUCAAUUUCUUGAUAUAUUUGCAACUCCAUUUUCAGUCAACAUAAAUACAUUACCUGCAAAUUUUCAAAUGGAACCAGAUGCACAACUCAACGAAAAAUGUAACUGUAUCUCUUUAUCGGACUUUUAUAAGCCUUCUCUUACCAAACAAAAACACCCCUCCCUUCACAAUCAGCCUUAUUCAUGUCAUUGCUUUUUGGCAGUACAUAAUGAACAACUGUUUUCAAGGACAAAGCACAGGAAGAGUAAAAUGUCAUCAGAAAUCUCUGAGGAGCUCCUGAGAAUUCACUAAGAACUGCAGGACUGCCACUGAACCACCAUGAUGUAUUUGUUUCACAAAAACAAGGUCAAAUAUCUGACUGGUUUUAUGGUUUUGCUACUCUUUUUUUUUUAAUGUUUUAAUAAAAUAUAUAUUUUAAAGGUUUU